Molecule: ribosomal RNA, 496 nt
Filed under: uncultured bacterium
Lineage: Bacteria
Description: bacterial SSU rRNA
Rfam family: Bacterial small subunit ribosomal RNA
Source: RNAcentral
GAUGAACGCUAGCGGAAGGCUUAAUACAUGCAAGUCGAGCGGUAAAAAUCUGAGCAAUUGGAUUUGAGAGCGGCGCACGGGUGAGUAACGCGUACAUGACCUACCUUUAAGAUCGGGAUAGCCCUGGGAAACUGGGAUUAAUACCGGAUGUGAUAAUAAGUAUAGAGAUUUAUUAUUAAAGCUGAGGCGCUUAGAGAUGGGUGUGCGUCUGAUUAGCUAGUUGGUAGGGUAAAGGCCUACCAAGGCGACGAUCAGUAGGGGGCGUGAGAGCGUGAUCCCCACACGGGUACUGAGACACGGACCCGACUCCUACGGGAGGCAGCAGUAGGGAAUAUUGCGCAAUGGGCGGAAGCCUGACGCAGCGACGCCGCGUGAGCGAAGAAGGCCUUGGGUCGUAAAGCUCUGUCCUUGGGGAAGAAGGCGAAAGCUUGACGGUACCCAAGAAGAAGCCCCGGCUAACUACGUGCCAGCCAGCCCGCGGUAAUCAAUACUCGUA